Molecule: long non-coding RNA, 1076 nt
Filed under: Phascolarctos cinereus (koala)
Lineage: Eukaryota; Metazoa; Chordata; Mammalia; Diprotodontia; Phascolarctidae
Description: lncRNA (ENSPCIG00000013441.2)
Source: RNAcentral
GCAGCCCUUGUAGUAGCAAAGACAACAGGGCUGACAAUGACAUUCGCUGCUGAGUGCCUGACAUUGAACUCAGCCAGUCAGAACACAGGGUGUCUGGCUGGUAGAAUUAAGUGCUGUCAGCACUAGAGAGAGAGAUGGGGGAGGGGGUAGAGAAUUAGGGAAGGGGGAUGAAGCAGAAGCAGCCCCUUCAGUAACAGCAAGCUAGCCAGCUCCCUCCCCUUCCCUCCUUUUGUGCAAAAAUGUGGUGGGGGUUUUUUUUUUUGUUUGUCAAUCAAGCAGAUUGUUUUUUCCUUCCCAGCAAUCUGAUUGUCGCUGCUGGUAUAAGAUAAGGGACUGAAAUGGGGCCAUGUGGUAGGGGUUUGAAUUUAGAACCCUGAAAUUAGAGGGCAGGCAUCAAAGGGGGCAGAGGAAAUUGUGUGAAUUCAUUAACCUCACCCACCUUGGACUAUUCCAGGAUACUACCUCCCAGCUUCCUGCUUCUCACUAUAUAUUUGAUCUUUCUGCCUCAGGACUCAGAAAGCUCAGGAUGACUCCCUCUCCUCUGCUGGCAGGAGCUGGCUGUCCAUUAAGUAGAAGGUUCCAGGGAAGAGGAGGGGCACUGGUUUCUGCUGCUUACUGUGCAGAUGAACCUUAAGGACUCUUCAGGGAAUGGAGCUAAAUAUGUAAAGUACUGAUUUUCCCCUGGAAAUAUUGCUCUGUCUACCUCCUUCUUGUGAUCUACCGGGUUGCCUAAUUUGUACCUAUAAAUCCAUCAGGCAAGAAGAAUUUUUGGCUGUGGUUAUACGCAAUAAGAACAGGAGAAUAUUUGUGUGUGUGUGUGUGUGUGUGUGUGUGUGUGUGUGUGUGUGAUUGUGUGUGGUAAUAUUCAAUUGGUCAACAAGCAUUUAUUAAGUACUUACAAUCUGCUAGGAGCUGGGCAUAUAAAUUCAAAAGUGAGACAGUCCCCUGUCCUCAAAGGGCUUACAUUCUCCUGAGGGGAGAGAGGAAGGUAGAGAGGAAUGUAACACGUUCAGAGAUAAGUAAAUAUAGGAGAGAUACAAAAUAAAACAAGGUGGUUUCAGAGAAGGAGGAAAAGC